UCGAGCGAGAACCAGUCCUUCGGGACUGGGGACAGCGGCGAACGGGUGAGUAACACGUGGGUAAUCUGCCCUCGAUUCUGGGAUAGCCCGGGGAAACCCGGAUUAAUACCGGAUAGCCUCUCGAGCUUACGGGCUCGUGAGAAAAGGUAGCUUCGGCCUCCGAUCGAGGAUGAGCCCGCGGCGGAUUAGCUUGUUGGUGGGGUAAUGGCCUACCAAGGCGACGAUCCGUAGCUGGUCUGAGAGGACGAUCAGCCACACUGGGACUGAGACACGGCCCAGACUCCUACGGGAGGCAGCAGUGGGGAAUCUUGCGCAAUGGGCGAAAGCCUGACGCAGCGACGCCGCGUGGGGGAAGAAGGCCUUCGGGUUGUAAACCUCUUUCAGCAGGGACGAAGCCACUCGGGUUAAUAGCCCAGAGGGUGACGGUACCUGCAGAAGAAGCCCCGGCUAACUACGUGCCAGCAGCCGCGGUAAUACGUAGGGGGCAAGCGUUGUCCGGAUUUAUUGGGCGUAAAGAGCGUGUAGGCGGCCGCA
Molecule: ribosomal RNA, 534 nt
Filed under: uncultured bacterium
Lineage: Bacteria
Description: bacterial SSU rRNA
Rfam family: Bacterial small subunit ribosomal RNA
Source: RNAcentral